AGGACGAACGCUGGCGGCGUGCUUAACACAUGCAAGUCGAACGGUGAAGGAGAGCUUGCUCUCCGGAUCAGUGGCGAACGGGUGAGUAACACGUGAGUAACCUGCCCUUGACUCUGGGAUAAGCGUUGGAAACGACGUCUAAUACCGGAUACGAGCUUCAGCCGCAUGGCUAGGAGCUGGAAAGAAUUUCGGCAAGGAUGGACUCGCGGCCUAUCAGCUAGUUGGUGAGGUAAUGGCUCACCAAGGCGACGACGGGUAGCCGGCCUGAGAGGGUGACCGGCCACACUGGGACUGAGACACGGCCCAGACUCCUACGGGAGGCAGCAGUGGGGAAUAUUGCACAAUGGGCGCAAGCCUGAUGCAGCAACGCCGCGUGGGGGACGAAGGCCUUCGGGUGUAAACCGUCUUUUAGUACGGUAAGAAGCGACUGGGUUUCCUCAGUCACGUAGACGGUACCUGACUAAGAAAAACGCACCGGACUAACCUACGUGACCAGCAGACCGCGGUAAUACCG
This 514-nucleotide ribosomal RNA is filed under the name uncultured soil bacterium. Its description in RNAcentral is "bacterial SSU rRNA". It matches the Rfam family "Bacterial small subunit ribosomal RNA", at positions 26 to 527 of the family's 1533-position model. The record is from RNAcentral.